UACGGGAGGGGUAAGCGUUAUUCGGAAUGACUGGGCGUAAAGGGCGUGUAGGUGGUUCUAGAAGUUGCUAAUGAAAGCGCGGGACGCAACUCCGUAAACGUUAACAAAACCUAGGUAACUUAUGAGUUCGGUUGGGGAUGGUGGAAUUUCUAAUGGAGCAAUAAAAUGCAUAGAUAUUAGAACGAACACCGAUGGCUAUUGCAACCAUCCAGGCCGGUACUGACACUGAUGCGCUAAAGCUUGGGUAGCGAACAGG
RNAcentral lists this unclassified non-coding RNA (256 nucleotides) under uncultured bacterium. RNAcentral describes it as "contains 16S-23S intergenic spacer region". It matches the Rfam family "Bacterial small subunit ribosomal RNA", at positions 524 to 776 of the family's 1533-position model. The record is from RNAcentral.